AAGGGGCACUAUACCAACUAUUUGUCGGAUCAUUGACGCUAACCAUUAAUCCCAAAAACUCGAGCUGUUAAAAAUAUGCAAUCAAUUCACUUAAAGCGUACAGGUACAGCACCCACAGGUCUCAAUAGUGACUCGGCUCAAUCAACUUCACGCCACUUCGAACAUGACUCGGCUCACCCAGCCUUACGCCAUUUCAAACAUAACUUGGCCCAAUAUGAUCUCCCGUCACAGAGCAGGUUGCUGAUCCAUUUAAACUAAUACUAUUGUCCUAAGCCAAUUAAUUAUUUGUUUUGUUCCGCUUUUACUUUUGUUUUCAGCAUCG
This 322-nucleotide long non-coding RNA is filed under the name Ananas comosus (pineapple). Its description in RNAcentral is "long non-coding RNA (ACOM_LNC027317)". The record is from RNAcentral. Lineage: Eukaryota; Viridiplantae; Streptophyta; Magnoliopsida; Poales; Bromeliaceae.